AUGCGCGCCUACCAUGCAAGUCGAACGGUAGCACACAGGAGCUUGCUCCUUGGGUGACGAGUGGCGGACGGGUGAGUAAUGUCUGGGAAACUGCCCGAUGGAGGGGGAUAACUACUGGAAACGGUAGCUAAUACCGCAUAACGUCGCAAGACCAAAGAGGGGGACCUUCGGGCCUCUUGCCAUCGGAUGUGCCCAGAUGGGAUUAGCUAGUAGGUGGGGUAACGGCUCACCUAGGCGACGAUCCCUAGCUGGUCUGAGAGGAUGACCAGCCACACUGGAACUGAGACACGGUCCAGACUCCUACGGGAGGCAGCAGUGGGGAAUAUUGCACAAUGGGCGCAAGCCUGAUGCAGCCAUGCCGCGUGUAUGAAGAAGGCCUUCGGGUUGUAAAGUACUUUCAGCGAGGAGGAAGGGGAUGUGGUUAAUAACCGCAUUCAUUGACGUUACUCGCAAAGAAGCACCGGCUAACUCCGUGCCAGCAGCCGCGGUAAUACGGAGGGUGCAAGCGUUAAUCGGAAUUACUGGGCGUAAAGCGCACGCAGGCGGUCUGUCAAGUCGGAUGUGAAAUCCCCGGGCUCAACCUGGGAACUGCAUCCGAAACUGGCAGGCUAGAGUCUUGUAGAGGGGGGUAGAAUUCCAGGUGUAGCGGUGAAAUGCGUAGAGAUCUGGAGGAAUACCGGUGGCGAAGGCGGCCCCCUGGACAAAGACUGACGCUCAGGUGCGAAAGCGUGGGGAGCAAACAGGAUUAG
RNAcentral lists this ribosomal RNA (749 nucleotides) under Citrobacter gillenii. Its description in RNAcentral is "bacterial SSU rRNA". It matches the Rfam family "Bacterial small subunit ribosomal RNA", at positions 40 to 781 of the family's 1533-position model. Lineage: Bacteria; Pseudomonadati; Pseudomonadota; Gammaproteobacteria; Enterobacterales; Enterobacteriaceae. The record is from RNAcentral.